AUCUGAGCUUGGUUUGUUCCCCCAGAGCUCACCCACUGGAAGCUUGGUCCCAGUGUGGAAGCAAGGUCAGGGUGGUGAUACCUUUAACAAAUGGGGCCGGGGGGUGGUUAUUAGGCCCUCAGGAGACCCACUCUCAGGAAUGGAUAAUGCUUUGCUCAGAGUGCUGACUGGGUCUUGCAGAAGUGAGUUUGUUUCCGGGAAGGGGUUGUACAGAGAGUGAGCCUGGUCUCUCUGCCUCUCAUGUCCUGUCUUGCCAAGCAUAUGAGACAUUUACUGGAACGGAUCAGAUGUCAGAGGCAGGCACUUGAAUCUCCAGAAUGGUGUUUUAUGUAACUGUCACGCAGUUUUUUGAAAAUCCAUCCAACGUGAAUGCUGGUUACUCUGACAGACGUUUUGCUUCCUCUGAUCUCCUGGGAGGGGGAUUCUCUCUGAUGCUCUUCUCACCACGUGGACCACAGUUUGACAGUGGAGGAUGGGUUUGAAUUUCCUAGAUGGAGCUCAUCGUACAGCAUAUCCAUCCAUUCAACAAACGCUUUACCGAAUGCUUCAGGCCCUGUUGCAGACAUUGGAAAUGCAAUAGUGCAAAAGCAACAGGAGGAUGUGCACUGUUGUUCUCAACCAACACUGCAACUGCAGAACUAUUCCGGUCUUCGAAUGAUUAUAUACAGGAAAACUGAAUUGGUGAUUUUGUUGGCAUAUGCACAGGCAGAAUGACCGCUAUGACUGGACAGCUUUCUGGUUUCACUACUCAAGUCAAAGACGUUGCUUUUGAAUGUAAAUCUACACACCAUGUCAUCCAUAGAGAAACGCUAGCUAGCCAAAAAAUGUCAUCUAAACUUAAUAGCAUUUGAAGAAGUGAUUAAAAUUCUCAACUGCAUGGAAGUCCAUGCCCUUACCUCAUGUCUGUUUACACAGCUCUGUGAGGAGAUGGGCACAGAGCACACACAUGUUCUCUUGUUCACCCAAGUGAGACGGCUUUCUAAAGGAAGAUCAAUGACUAGAGUUUUUGAGUUACAAGAGCCACUCUAGACAUUUGUUUUAGAAAAUCGUCACCCCUGGCAGCAUAUUUCAGUGACACAGAAUCAGUUGGAAAAAUUGCUUACUUAUGUGACAUAUUCAACCUGCUCAAGAACUUAAUCUGUCACUUCUGGGAGAACAACAACUGUGCUCGAGUCGGCAGAUAAAGUGGCUGCACUCAGAGCCAAACUGGGAUUAUGGGAGCAGUGAGUGAACAUCGGGAUGUUUGACAUGGUUCAAAUGUUAGCAAGAUUUUGAAAGAGACUGAGGCAGGACCUUCUUCCUUGCAUCUGUCUCAGCUUUCAAAAGAGUCUGAGCACCAUGACCCCAUGACCAAAGAGCCCCAAACCAGGAAGGCAUGGAUCCACGGCUCAUUUGUAAAUACACGGACUUUUCUGUGCUAGGAGAGGAUCAGCUGCUUGAGAACACAAGUGACAGUGGUCUUAAAAGUAUGUUUCAGGGGGCCGGGGAUUUAGCUCAGUGGUUCUGCCGCCUGCCUUGCAAGCGCAAGGUCCUGAGUUCCAUCCCCAGUACCAAAAAAAAAAAAAAGUGUGCUUGAGACAAAUUGAAAUCUCCGUAUGUUCUUGAUUAAAGACAAAGUGGGAUAGUCUGAGAUUGCCACAAAAGCACUGAAAAUCCACCUUCCAUUUACAGCAUCUUUGUUAAGCAGGGUUAUUCACAGCAACAACAGCCAUGGAAUAGACUGAGCAUAAGUGACGUGAAACAGAUCUCACUGUCUUGCAUCAGCCCCAGAUGAGACUGCCAAGUUGCAAGAAAACAAGCUCAGAGUUCCUGUCUUAGUUACUUUUCUCGUUGCUGAGAUAAAACACUCGACAUCAGAAGUUAAAGGAAGAAAGCUUAUUUUGGCUCAUAGUUUUAGAGGUUUCAGUCCACAGUCAGCUGGCUCCAAGCCAGGGUGGCACAGCAGAGGGGCAUCACAGAGAAGAAAUAGUCCAUGGCAAAGAAGGCAGAAGGCAGCAGAAGCAGCCAAGCAGCUAGCAGCAAGCAACAAGCAAGGACUCUCUUCCUGUCUCUUAUGUCUUAUCCAAGCUACCCACCCUUAGAGCAGGCACCUCUCACACCCUUAAUCCUACCAUUGCAUCCUUGAUCCCAGAAUCACACACCCUAAGUUGAGCCACCUCCAAAAAGCCCCACUUAUGACUGCAUGAGGCCUUGGGGGGACAUCUAGAUACAAGCCAUAGCAGUUCCCAUUGAUUCCACAUAUGGUGACUUGCAUAAUUAUUUCAUUAUGUAUUACAAUGUAAUAAUAAUAAAAAUAAAGCUCACAAUAAAUAUAAUGUGCCUGAAUCAUCCCCAAACCACCCCCUACCUGACUCUCAUCCACAGAAAAAACUGUCUUCCACAAAACUAGUCUCCCUGGUGCAGAUUAAGUUCCUGCUUUAAUCUUGUCUAAGAACUCACCACAUUGGGUAGAGUCCACUUAAAUGAAAAAGUUCUUUUUCUGUCCUAUUUCAGUUACGUGUGUGUGUGUCUGUGUGUG
This is a long non-coding RNA of Heterocephalus glaber (naked mole-rat), 2518 nucleotides long. NCBI's taxonomy places the organism in Eukaryota, Metazoa, Chordata, Mammalia, Rodentia, Bathyergidae. The record is from Ensembl.